Molecule: long non-coding RNA, 1547 nt
Organism: Hemicordylus capensis (graceful crag lizard)
Lineage: Eukaryota; Metazoa; Chordata; Lepidosauria; Squamata; Cordylidae
Exons: 12
Source: RefSeq, a predicted model, not a curated record
CCAGGAAGGAGGAGGCAGCCAGAGUGUUCUCUGCAGCAGAAGACCCCUUGCUGCUCUGCUUAACCCAGACCAGCAUUUGCCAGAAACAUCGAGCCUCCCGAAAAUACUUUAUGUAAGAGCUAAGAGAGAAUGAACUUUACUGGAUGACAUAUUGUAGUGAAACAGAUGAAGGGAGAGAAGACAAUCUGUGGAGCUAGCGAGAAAGAAGAAAGCUGAAAUGUAAUAGCUGAUCUGAUGAAAUUAAGUUUCCCCGAAAGAUAGAUGUUUUUUCCAGAUACUGAAAAGUAAUGGAAGAGGAUGGGGAGAAGCACCUGAGAAGAUACUGUACAAUAGGCUAGGUUGUUCGAGAGCGAUCUCUGAUGCCUCAUUCUGAAGGGAGGAGAAAAUUCAUUUCCAGGAGUAUUUCCAAUGAUGCAUGGCUGUAGAUUUGAAAUAGUGCGAGAGGGGAAGAGACCCAAGAGAUAAAACUGCUGAAUCUGGGAAGCCAGCAACAGACCUCACAGGGUGGAGGCAGCAUAGGGCCUGGAGAUUCAAAAGCUGCUGUGGUGCAGCAAGUCACCACAAGGGGCAGUGGUAUGUUACAUCUCCUGGGCCGCUGCUGAGCUGGGGCUUCUGCCAUUAUAUAGGGCAGGCUGGCCCAGGGCUUGGGGAAGAAGAAGGAAGAGGGGAACAGUUUAGGUGGGGCACUGACUGUCUUUUGCUUCUACCCCACCUCUUCUCCAGGUGUGGCAGGCUCCAAAAUGGCCACUGUGGAAUAAGGGAGACUGGCAAGGCGAGGGGAAACUCUGCAGACCUCCCAACUACACCACCUCAGACAACUCCCCCAGAUGGGGCUUCAGCAAGAACUACAAUCCAUGGCAGGAGAAAUUCACCCAAGUGUGCUAGAGGCAGCUAUCAGUACGAGAUCUGUUAGAGAGAUUUGGAGAGGAGAUCAUUUAUCUACCCCACCUGCAGCAGAAGUGCACAAGUAAGAAGAGCAGCUGUGCUUCCUCCUCUCUCUCCAUUUUUAAAAGGGAAGGGGAAAGGAAAGGAGAAGCAAGCAUGGAGAGGGAGAAAUGAGUACUGCUACAGUGUUCCAUCCCUCACUCGUCCCUCCCCUUGAGAAGACAGCACAGAUGCAAUGAAAUUCGAAGGAACAGCAAGCCACCAGAGUGGGAGAAUGGAGAUGGAAGGUCAACAGAAACACUGCUGGUGUGGGCAUUGAAUGUGUGCGAUAUCUUUUCUCUUGCUGAAAAUCUAUCAAGAUUUACAAGGAAGAGGAGGAACCCAGAACUGAAGUAUUUGCUGUGACCGGCUCUCUGGAAGGGAAAGUAUCAAGGUUGUGCUGACCAAAGCACUAUUUGGUUUGCCUGGGUUUGUGUUUCCAUUAGUACUGUGCAGAUCCCUGUGGGUCAUGCUUAAUGAAGAGGAUGCUGGGUGUUUUUGCACCAGUUUUUGAUGGUGGACACCAACACUAUUAUUUCUUCACAGAAAGGAAUUUGUGCUGUUAUAAUAUAUUUUUCCUGUAAUAUUUCCUUUUCUCUACAAUAAAGCUAUGGAUAAACAUA